Long non-coding RNA from Hippopotamus amphibius kiboko, 628 nucleotides. RefSeq lists it as uncharacterized. The transcript is spliced from 3 exons. The record is from RefSeq and is a predicted model, not a curated record. NCBI's taxonomy places the organism in Eukaryota, Metazoa, Chordata, Mammalia, Artiodactyla, Hippopotamidae.
GGGAGGUGGGACAGACCUGAGGAGGAAAUGAAAACGACUAUGCAUGCCUUGGAACCCAGCUCAAAUGUCAUAUCCUGGAGGAAUGAAUGAUUUAAGCUCCAAUACACUUUAUUUCCCUGGUGGUUCAGUGGUUAAGAAUCUGCCUGCCGGGCUUCCUAGGUGGCGCAGUGGUUGAGAAUCCACCUGCCAAUGCAGGGGACAAGGGUUCAAUCCCUGCUCCAGGAAGAUCCCACAUGCCGCGGAGCAACUAAGCCCAUGAGCCACAACUAUUGAGCCCAUGUGCUGCAACUACUGAAGCCCACGCGCCUAGAGCCUGUGCUCCGCAGCAAGAGAAGCCACGGCAAUGAGGAGCCCGCGCACCACAACAAAGAGGAGCCCCCACUCACUGCAACUAAAAGAAAGCCCACGCACAGCAAAAAAGACCCAACACAGCCAGUAAAAUAAAUAAAAAAAAAAAAAAGAAUCCUCCUGCCAAUGCAGAGGGCAUGGUUUCAAUCCCUGGUCCAGGAAGAUCCCACAUGCCACGGAGCAACUAAGCCCAUGCGCCACAACUCCUGAGCCUGAACUCUUGAGCCCAAGUGCUGCAACUACUGAAGCCCGCUUGCCUAGAGCCCGUGCUCUGCAACAA